CCAAUAGCGUAUAUUAAAGUUGUUGCAGUUAAAAAGCUCGUAGUUGAAUUUCGGGGUUAGCAGGUCGGUCGUGCCAUCGGUAUGAACUGGUCUCGCUGAUCCCUCCCUCUUGACGAACUGUGAUGCCAUUAAUUUGGUGUCGCAGGGAAUCAGGACUGUUACUUUGAAAAAAUUAGAGUGUUUAAAGCAGGCUCACGCUUGAAUACAUUAGCAUGGAAUAAUGAAAUAGGACGUUUGAUCCUAUUUUGUUGGUUUCUAGGAUUGACGUAAUGAUUAAUAGGGAUAGUUGGGGGCAUUAGUAUUCAAUUGUCAGAGGUGAAAUUCUUGGAUUUAUUGAAGACUAACUACUGCGAAAGCAUUUGCCAAGGAUGUUUUCAUUAAUCAAGAACGAAAGUUAGGGGAUCGAAGACGAUCAGAUACCGUCGUGGUCUUAACCAUAAACUAUGCCGACUAGGGAUCGGAUGAUGUUAAUUUUUUAAUGACUCAUUCGGCGCCUUACG
This 500-nucleotide ribosomal RNA is filed under the name uncultured Glomeromycotina. Its description in RNAcentral is "partial small subunit ribosomal RNA". It matches the Rfam family "Eukaryotic small subunit ribosomal RNA", at positions 591 to 1092 of the family's 1831-position model. Lineage: Eukaryota; Fungi; Glomeromycota. The record is from RNAcentral.